Molecule: ribosomal RNA, 264 nt
Filed under: uncultured archaeon
Lineage: Archaea
Description: partial 16S ribosomal RNA
Rfam family: Archaeal small subunit ribosomal RNA
Source: RNAcentral
AGUCACUGACAUUAGAUACCCCCGUAGUCCCAGCCGUAAACUAUGCUCGCUAGGUGUCAGGCAUGGCGCGACCGUGUCUGGUGCCGCAGGGAAGCCGUGAAGCGAGCCACCUGGGAAGUACGGCCGCAAGGCUGAAACUUAAAGGAAUUGGCGGGGGAGCACAACAACGGGUGGAGCCUGCGGUUUAAUUGGAUUCAACACCGGAAACUCACCAGUGAAGACUGUUACAUGAAAGCCAGGCUGAUGACCUUGCUAGAUUUUCAG